AGAGAGGUGCUCGAGUGGUUGAAGAGGCUACCCUGGAAAGGUAGUAUACGGGUGACUGUAUCGUGGGUUCGAAUCCCAUCCUCUCUG
Molecule: transfer RNA, 87 nt
Filed under: Flavobacteriaceae bacterium
Lineage: Bacteria; Pseudomonadati; Bacteroidota; Flavobacteriia; Flavobacteriales; Flavobacteriaceae
Description: tRNA-Ser
Rfam family: tRNA
About the family: Transfer RNA (tRNA) molecules are approximately 80 nucleotides in length. Their secondary structure includes four short double-helical elements and three loops (D, anti-codon, and T loops).
Source: RNAcentral